UAGCAAAGCCAAUCACAAAUCAAAAUCACAUUUCAAAGAACCAAACGUUCCUCUCAAAAUCUAAAAAUAUCCAUUAUGUUGUACAAAUUAGUUCAUAAAAACAACCCAAACAACUCUUCACCACACAUAGCAACCUCUUCAUCACGCCGUCGCCGCCGCACGCCGCAGCCCCUCCAUGCCCCAUCGAGCUCAAGAGCCCCAAAUCUUGCGCUGUCGCGCAGCACCCCAAACAUCGACCUGGAAACCCAUGGAGGUUUCGCUACUCUUAAUGUAAUAGCAACCAAAGCCCCAAAUUUGGUCUAUCCAUCGAUUUCUGUAAACCUCGUCUUUUCAUUGACUUUAGGAUAAGACCCCAUCAUCAUCACCACCAUCCGCCUCUCGCCUCCUUCCAUUUUUUUAUUUUCUUUUUAUUCAUUCGUCAUGGCACCGAUCUUCUUCUUCUUCUCUCUCUAACGGAGGGACGAGUUGUGUUUAUUUGUUUUUGGAAUUGGGUAAUUUAAUCUUAGGGUUUGCAUAUUAUUG
Molecule: long non-coding RNA, 522 nt
Filed under: Citrus sinensis (sweet orange)
Lineage: Eukaryota; Viridiplantae; Streptophyta; Magnoliopsida; Sapindales; Rutaceae
Description: long non-coding RNA (CSIN_LNC003491)
Source: RNAcentral